AUGGCCGCUGCCGAGCCGACCGGAGGCGGGGGAGGCGACGAGGUCGUGGAGGAGAUUAAAGAAGGAGGAGAGGGGGCCGCGGCCACGGCGGAGGCGCACAACGGCGAGCGCCCCACCGACGACUCCCCCGGCCCGUCGGCGCCGUCGACGUCUUCCGCCUCAGAUAACGGAAACCUCCAUAGAUCAAGCACUAUGCCGGGGGUGAUCAAGGAUACAGAGAUAACUACUGAAACUACCGGUCCAUCAAAUCUGGAAAGGUCAAAAACUGAGAGGCGCAAACAAAAUAAUCCAGCUGAUGAUCCUACUAAACAGUUAUUGGAUGAUAAGAUUUCCAUAAGGAAAAAGCUCAAAAUGUUAAAUCGAAUAGCUACAGUGAAGGAUGAUGGAACUGUGGUUGUUAAUGUACCAAGUACUCUAGAAGCGACUCCAAUUGACGUUGGAGCAGUGGAUGGCUAUGAGGAUGUUGUUGUUGAAGAAUCAUUAGAUGGAUCAGAUAUACCAUACAGACCUCCAAUACAGAUUGUUAUACUUAUCGUGGGUACAAGGGGAGACGUUCAGCCAUUUGUUGCAAUAGGAAAACGCUUACAGGAUUAUGGACACCGUGUGAGAUUAGCCACUCAUGCUAACUAUAAGGAGUUCAUACUCACAGCUGGGCUGGAGUUUUUUCCACUGGGUGGAGAUCCAAAAGUACUUGCUGAAUACAUGGUGAAGAAUAAAGGGUUCCUACCUUCAGGCCCAUCAGAAAUUCCUGUUCAAAGAAAACAAAUGAAAGAAAUUAUAUUUUCCCUACUGCCUGCAUGCAAGGAUCCUGACCCUGAUACCGGUAUUGCUUUCAAAGUGGAUGCAAUUAUUGCGAACCCACCAGCAUAUGGACAUACACAUGUGGCAGAGGCACUAAAAGUACCCAUUCAUAUAUUCUUUACCAUGCCAUGGACGCCAACUAGUGAAUUUCCUCAUCCUCUUUCUCGAGUGAAAACAUCAGCUGGAUAUCGACUUUCUUACCAAAUUGUUGACUCUAUGAUUUGGCUUGGGAUACGUGAUAUGAUAAACGAAUUCAGGAAAAAGAAGUUGAAGCUGCGUCCAGUAACAUACCUAAGUGGUGCACAGGGUUCUGGAAGUGACAUUCCUCAUGGAUACAUCUGGAGCCCUCACCUUGUCCCAAAACCGAAAGACUGGGGCCCCAAGAUCGAUGUUGUUGGAUUUUGCUUUCUCGAUCUUGCGUCUGAUUACGUACCACCUGAAGAACUUGUGAAAUGGCUUGAAGCGGGUGACAAACCCAUUUAUGUUGGUUUUGGUAGCCUUCCAGUUCAAGAUCCAGCAAAGAUGACUGAAACCAUUGUCAAAGCACUCGAAAUGACUGGACAGAGAGGUAUCAUUAACAAGGGUUGGGGUGGUCUCGGAACAUUGGCAGAACCAAAAGAUUCCAUAUAUGUUCUUGACAACUGCCCUCACGACUGGCUUUUCCUGCAGUGUAAGGCAGUGGUACACCAUGGUGGUGCUGGAACGACGGCUGCCGGCCUGAAAGCAGCGUGUCCUACAACUAUUGUACCUUUCUUUGGCGACCAACCAUUCUGGGGUGAGCGGGUGCAUGCUAGAGGGGUAGGGCCUUCGCCUAUACCGGUUGAUCAAUUCACUUUGCAGAAGUUGGUUGAUGCUAUAAAAUUCAUGUUGGAUCCAGAGGUGAAAGAAAAGGCUGUGGAGCUUGCCAAGGCCAUGGAAUCUGAAGACGGCGUAACGGGUGCAGUCAGGGCAUUCCUCAAACACCUGCCCUGUAAAACAGAUGAAAACUCACCCCCACCAACGCACGGCUUUCUAGAGUUCCUAGGCCCAGUAAGUAAAUGUUUGGGGUGCUCUUAG
This 1857-nucleotide ribosomal RNA is filed under the name Triticum aestivum (bread wheat). RNAcentral describes it as "partial small subunit ribosomal RNA". Lineage: Eukaryota; Viridiplantae; Streptophyta; Magnoliopsida; Poales; Poaceae. The record is from RNAcentral.